Molecule: ribosomal RNA, 531 nt
Filed under: uncultured soil bacterium
Lineage: Bacteria
Description: bacterial SSU rRNA
Rfam family: Bacterial small subunit ribosomal RNA
Source: RNAcentral
AGAAUCAACGCUGGCGGCGUGCCUAACACAUGCAAGUCGAGCGCGAAUAGGGGGGCAACCCCCUUAGUAGAGCGGCGAACGGGUGAGUAACGCGUGGGUAACCUGCCCUCGAGUGGGGAAUAACCCCGGGAAACUGGGGCUAAUACCGCAUGACAUCCCUGACUCCAUGAGCCGGGGAUCAAAGCUGGGGAUCGAAAGACCUGGCGCUUGAGGAGGGGCCCGCGUCCGAUUAGCUAGUUGGCGGGUAACGGCCCACCAAGGCGACGAUCGGUAGCCGGCCUGAGAGGGCGACGGCCACGACGUCGGACUGAGACACGGCCCAGACUCCUACGGGAGCGAGCAGUGGGGAAUUUUCGCGAAUGGGCGCAAGCCUGACGAAGCAACGCGCGUGGAGAUGAAGCCUGGUUGUAACUCCUGUCGACGGACGAAAGCUGCUGACCAAUACGUCGUACAGUUGACUGUACCGGUGGAACGGAACCGACGCUAAACGUCUACGUGACCGAGCGAGCCCGACGGUAAUCCGUAGACGGA